CCUANGGGGGGCAGCAGUCGGGAAUUUUGCGCAAUGGACGAAAGUCUGACGCAGCAACACCGCGUGAGGGAUGAAGGCCUUCGGGUUGUAAACCUCUUUUCUCAGGGAAGAUAAUGACGGUACCUGAGGAAUAAGCCACGGCUAACUACGUGCCAGCAGCCGCGGUAAUACGUAGGUGGCAAGCGUUGUCCGGAUUUACUGGGCGUAAAGAGCGCGCAGGCGGUCGUGCAAGUCGCGUGUGAAAGCCCCCGGCUCAACUGGGGAGGGUCACGCGAUACUGCUCGACUCGAAGGCAGGAGAGGGAAGUGGAAUUCCCGGUGUAGUGGUGAAAUGCGUAGAUAUCGGGAGGAACACCAGUGGCGAAGGCGACUUCCUGGCCUGUUCUUGACGCUGAGGCGCGAAAGCUAGGGGAGCAAACGGGAUUAGAUACCCUANUANUC
Molecule: ribosomal RNA, 440 nt
Filed under: uncultured bacterium
Lineage: Bacteria
Description: bacterial SSU rRNA
Rfam family: Bacterial small subunit ribosomal RNA
Source: RNAcentral